GCGCGGAGCACGAGGAAUUCUGCGUGAAUCUGCCGGGACCAUCCGGUAAGGCUAAAUACUCCCGAGAGACCGAUAGUGAACCAGUACUGUGAAGGAAAGGUGAAAAGCACUUCGAACAGAAGAGUGAAAUAGUUCCUGAAACCAUGUGCCUACAAGCGGUCGGAGCACCUUCUGGUGUGACGGCGUGCCUUUUGCAUAAUGAACCUACGAGUUACUUUUUCCGGCGAGGUUAAGGAUUUCAGAUCUGCAGCCGAAGCGAAAGCGAGUCUGAACAGGGCGUAUAGUCGGAAGGAGUAGACGCGAAACCAAGUGAUCUACCCUUGGGCAGGUUGAAGGAUGGGUAACACCAUCUGGAGGACCGAACCAAUAAGCGUUGAAAAGCUUCUGGAUGACCUGAGGGUGGGGGUGAAAGGCUAAUCAAACUUGGAGAUAGCUCGUACUCCCCGAAAUGCAUUUAGGUGCAGCCUUGACUUAUACUGGCAUGAGGUAGAGCGACUGAUAAGAUGCGAGGGCUUCACCGCCUAUCAAGUCUUGACAAACUCCGAAUGCGUGUCAGUUCUAUGUCAGGAGUGAGGGCAUGGGUGCUAAGGUCCAUGUCCUAAAGGAGAACAAUCCGGACCAACAGCUAAGGUCCCGAAAUGAAUACUAAGUUGAACUAACGAAGUCAGAUUGCUAAGACAGCUAGGAUGUUGGCUUGGAAGCAGCCAUUCAUUUAAAGAGUGCGUAACAGCUCACUAGUCGAGGAGUUUGGCGUGGAUAAUAAUCGGGCAUAAGUAUUCUACCGAAGCUUUGGGAUGAGAAAUCAUCGGUAGGGGAGCAUUCCACUCGGCGUCGAAGGUGAAGCGCGAGCUUUGCUGGAGCGUGUGGAAAAGCAAAUGUAGGUAUAAGUAACGAUAAAGGGGGUGAGAAACCCCCUCGCCGAAAGACUAAGGUUUCCUGAUCAACGCUAAUCGGAUCAGGGUAAGUCGGGUCCUAAGGCUCAGCCGAACGGCGAGGCCGAUGGCAGAACCGGUUAAUAUUCCGGUACUACCUGUGGGAGUGACGUGGAGACGGAGUCGUGACAGCGCCGCGGACUGACGGAAUAGUCCGUUGAAGGGUGUAGAUGCUGAUUGUUCCAGGCAAAUCCGGAGCAAGAGUCGAACCUGAUAGUAUGGAGCGUUCUUAGAACAAUCCAAUAGUGCGUGUAAUCAUACUUCCAAGAAAAUCCGCUAAACUUAAUCCUGCAGGUACCCGUACCGCAAACGGACACACGUAGUCGGGUUGAAUAUACUAAGGCGCUUGAGUGAUUCACGGUUAAGGAACUAGGCAAAUUGACCCUGUAACUUCGGGAUAAAGGGUCCCAACGAGAGUUGGGCGCAGAGAAUAGGUCCAGGCAACUGUUUAACAAAAACACAGGGCUGUGCCAAAUUGAAAGAUUACGUAUACAGCCUGACACCUGCCCGGUGCUGGAAGGUUAAGAGGAGAUGUCAUCGCAAGAGAAGCAUUGAAUUGAAGCCCCAGUAAACGGCGGCCGUAACUAUAACGGUCCUAAGGUAGCGAAAUUCCUUGUCGGGUAAGUUCCGACCUGCACGAAUGGUGUAAUGAUCUGGACGCUGUCUCAACCGUGAGCUCAGUGAAAUUGUAGUAUCGGUGAAGAUGCCGAUUACCCGCGAUGGGACGAAAAGACCCCGUGAACCUUUACUAUAGCUUAACAUUGAAUUUGGGUAAUUGAUGUGUAGGAUAGGCCGGAGACUUCGAAGCAGGUACGCCAGUAUUUGUGGAGUCGCUGUUGAAAUACGGCCCUUUGAUUAUUUGAGUUCUAACUCGUGGUACGAGGACACUGUUUGGUGGGUAGUUUGACUGGGGUGGUCGCCUCCAAAAUAGUAACGGAGGCUUCUAAAGGUGCCCUCAGGACGAUUGGUAACCGUCCGCAGAGUGUAAUGGCAUAAGGGCGCUUGACUGGGAGACUUACAAGUCGAUCAGGUAGGAAACUAGAGCAUAGUGAUCCGGUGUUUCCGUAUGGAAGGGACAUCGCUCAAAGGAUAAAAGGUACUCCGGGGAUAACAGGCUGAUCCCUCCCAAGAGCUCAUAUCGACGGAGGGGUUUGGCACCUCGAUGUCGGCUCGUCACAUCCUGGGGCUGGAGAAGGUCCCAAGGGUUGGGCUGUUCGCCCAUUAAAGUGGCACGCGAGCUGGGUUCAGAACGUCGUGAGACAGUUCGGUCUCUAUCUAUCGUGGGCGUAUGAAAUUUGCGUGGCUCUGACACUAGUACGAGAGGACCGUGUUGGACUGACCGCUGGUUUACCAGUUGUGCCGCCAGGUGCAUUGCUGGGUAUCUAAGUCGGGAUUGGAUAAGUGCUGAAAGCAUCUAAGUACGAAGCCAGCCACAAGAUUAGAUUUCUUAGGGUCGUUAAAGACGAUGACGUUGAUAGGAUGCAGGUGUAAAGGUGGUAACAUCAAAGCCGAGCAUUACUAAUUGCCCGUUCACUUUCUU
This 2472-nucleotide ribosomal RNA is filed under the name human gut metagenome. Its description in RNAcentral is "bacterial LSU rRNA". It matches the Rfam family "Bacterial large subunit ribosomal RNA", at positions 415 to 2925 of the family's 2925-position model. The record is from RNAcentral.